ACGGAAGGCAGCAGUGGGGAAUAUUGCACAAUGGGCGAAAGCCUGAUGCAGCAACGCCGCGUGAGGGAAGACGGUUUUCGGAUUGUAAACCUUUGUCCUUGGUGAAGAUAAUGACGGUAGCCGAGGAGGAAGCCACGGCUAACUACGUGCCAGCAGCCGCGGUAAUACGUAGGUGGCAAGCGUUGUCCGGAAUUACUGGGUGUAAAGGGAGCGCAGGCGGGAAAGCAAGUCAGUGGUGAAAUGCAUGGGCUUAACCCAUGAACUGCCAUUGAAACUGUUUUUCUUGAGUGGAUCAGAGGCAAGCGGAAUUCCGAGUGUAGCGGUGAAAUGCGUAGAUAUUCGGAGGAACACCAGUGGCGAAGGCGGCUUGCUGGGGUCUAACUGACGCUGAGGCUCGAAAGUGUGGGGAGCAAACAGGAUUAGAUACCCUGGUA
This 434-nucleotide ribosomal RNA is filed under the name uncultured Oscillospiraceae bacterium. RNAcentral's name for it is "partial 16S ribosomal RNA". It matches the Rfam family "Bacterial small subunit ribosomal RNA", at positions 341 to 792 of the family's 1533-position model. The record is from RNAcentral. Lineage: Bacteria; Bacillati; Bacillota; Clostridia; Eubacteriales; Oscillospiraceae.